RNAcentral lists this ribosomal RNA (253 nucleotides) under uncultured prokaryote. RNAcentral's name for it is "partial 16S ribosomal RNA". It matches the Rfam family "Bacterial small subunit ribosomal RNA", at positions 524 to 776 of the family's 1533-position model. The record is from RNAcentral.
GACGAACCUGACGAACGUUAUUCGGAAUUACUGGGCUUAAAGGGUGCGUAGGCGGCGCGACAAGUUGGGUGUGAAAUCCCUCGGCUCAACCGAGGAACUGCGCUCAAUACUGUCGUGCUCGAGGGAGACAGAGGUGAGCGGAACUUAGGGUGGAGCGGUGAAAUGCGUUGAUAUCCUAAGGAACACCAGUAGCGAAAGCGGCUCACUGGGUCUCUUCUGACGCUGAGGCACGAAAGCUAGGGUAGCGAACGGG